GUGGAUACACUGGGAGUAUAUAGUGGAUACACUGGGGUAUAUAGUGGAUACACUGGGGGUAUACAGUGGAAACACUAGGAGUAUAUAGUGGCUACACAAGGAGAAUAUAGAGGAUACACUGGGCGUAUAUAGUGGCUACAUUAGAAUUAUAUAGUUGAUACACUGGGAGUAUAUAUUGGAUACACUGGGAGUAUAUAGUGGAUACACUUGGAGUAUAUAGUGGAUACACUGGGAGUAUAUAGUGGAUACACUGGGAAUAUAUAUUGGAUACACUGGGAGUAUAUAUUGGAUACACUGGGAGUAUAAAGUGAAUACACUGGGAGUAUAUAUUGGAUACACUGGUAGUAUAUGGUAUAUAUACUGGGAGUAUAUAUUGGAUACACUUAGAGUAUAUAGUGAAUACACUGGUAGUAUAUAGUGAAUACACUCGGAGUAUAUAGUGGAAUUAUUAGGAGUAUUUAGUGGAUACACUGGGCGUACAUAGUGGAUACAUUGGUAGUUUGUGUAUUGGCUACACUGGGAGUAUAUAGUGGAUACACUCGGAUUAUAUAUUGGGUACACUGGGAUUAUAUAGUGGAUACUAUAGGAGUAUAUAGUGGAAACACUAGGAGUAUAUAGUGGAUACACUAGGAGUAUACAUGCGAUACACUGGGAGUUUAUAGUGGAUACAUUGGGUGUAUAUAGUGGAUACAUUGGGCGUAUAUAGUGGAAACACUGUGCGUAUAUGGUGGAUACACUGGGAGUAUAGAGUAGAUACACUAGGAGUAUAUAGUGGCUACACUAGGAGUAUAUAGUGGAUACACUGGUAGUAUAUAGUGGAUACACUGGGGGUAUAUAGUUGAUACACUAGGAGUAUAUAGUGGAUACACUGGGCGUAUAUGGUAAAUACACUGGGAGUAUAUAGUGGAUACACUAGGAGGAUAUAGUGGCUACACUAGGAGUAUAUAUGCGAUACACUGGGAGUAUAUAGUGGAUACAUUGGGUGUAUAUAGUGGAUACAUUGGGCGUAUAUAGUGGAAACACUGGGCAUAUAUGGUGGAAACACUGGGAGUAUAUAGUGGAUACACUAGGAGUAUAUAGUGGAUACACUGGGCGUAUAUAGUGGAUAUACUGGGCGUAUAUAGCGGAUACACUGGGCGUAUAUAGUGGAUAUUAUUCAGGAAGUCUCUAACACUGUAACAAGUAACUAUUAAACUUUCUUGUCAUCUGUCAAAAUCAAUAUUUAGAUAUCACACAAAGUCCAAACCAAGGCGAUCUGCAUAUUUGUUUAUUAUGUCCUGUUAUUUUUACAUGUGUUUUCUUAUACGUAAGGGGAGCUGCGUGACCCAGAGUCGGACACCAGCCGAGCACAUGGCGCACCCGACCCCACGUAUGACGGUAGUAAUGGUGACAGGGGUGAGAGGCUUUGGCAAAGAUCCCUCAAAAAGUUAAAGUCAAACUUCAAAAAGGAUAUAAGUGUCUCCUACAAGUUCUUAGAAGAAAGUAUUUGUGAAAAAUAUUUAAUGACGGUUGCUGAUCUCCUUCAUAGCAACGAAACCUACAAAGCAGGCGAAGUUCUGGCAGUUUUAGCCGCUACCAUAGCUGGUGUAACAGAAAAAGAAAACAGUGGCUACCAUUUCCGAAUCAAUCGGUUAAUGUUCGGAGACCUAGAUAUAUGGAUGGCCUCGUUCAUUCUUUCGUUCGAUGGUAAAGGGAGGGAACACCUAUUAGACGUUCUAAGAGGCAUACCCAAGUAAGUUAUCGACAGCGGGAACAUAUAUAUUCACAUGUUCAGUAAACAUCUACGUUAUGCAGUCAGUAUGAAAGUUGUUUAAACCGGACCCCACUAAGUUGUUAUACAUAUUAAGAUAACAUGCAGAAGAUAUUAAAGAGAAGUUAUGGUUCUCGAAAGCUUUUCGGAAAUAACGAUUGGAAUAUUGUACAACAAGUUUCUGAAGUAUUUUAUUAUAUUUUUUUUAAUAGUUGCACCCAUCAAAAGAUGAUUUUUUAAAAAUCGAAAGAAACUUCUGUGAAACAAUGAAUCUUCAUGAUUUACUUUUGACUUUUUAAACAUUUAGUAAACUAAACAGUUAUAAACAUCUCAAAGAUGUGGUAGAGUAGCAAGUAGUAUUCUUUUUUAAACUUGAACGCUGAUUCACUUAUCUGCAGGUCGUAAUCGAGAAAACAAUACACCUGCUGUUACCCACUGCAUUGUAUCGUAAGAGGCGACUAGUGUGCGAAUCCCUGCAGCAUACGGGAUUUGCUUGUGUAUCCUCUGUUAAAGGACACAAAAGCGACCAAAAUAAAUCUGCUGUACUCAUUGCAAUAUUUGGAAUCUUUCUAUUUCUUUCUACUUCUAACUAACUUUUACUUUCUAAUCCCUUGCUUGGCAAUACCUCACGUUGUGAGUUAAUAAUGAGCGUUCUCCCAUGUGAUGGGAGGCAAUGGGUUCCGUCCCCAGACAGGGACAUAACAAAUACAUUUGGUAUUCCCUGCUGGACGUUCAGCAUUGAGGGUAAUGGCAGCAACUGGUUUAACCGUUGUCAGUAUAAUGUGACCGGGCGGAAUGCUGUGCUAGGUG
Molecule: long non-coding RNA, 2560 nt
Filed under: Mizuhopecten yessoensis (Yesso scallop)
Lineage: Eukaryota; Metazoa; Mollusca; Bivalvia; Pectinida; Pectinidae
Description: uncharacterized LOC110460045
Source: RNAcentral